RNAcentral lists this non-coding RNA (151 nucleotides) under Gossypium arboreum. Its description in RNAcentral is "Bacterial large subunit ribosomal RNA". It matches the Rfam family "Bacterial large subunit ribosomal RNA", at positions 1038 to 1200 of the family's 2925-position model. Lineage: Eukaryota; Viridiplantae; Streptophyta; Magnoliopsida; Malvales; Malvaceae. The record is from Rfam by way of RNAcentral.
GCUGUGAUCGAGAAAAGAAUAAAGGAGAUAGGGGUGCAGAGAGAGCUAGAAGGAUUCCCUAGAAGUAGCCACCCUUGAAAGAGUGUGUAAUAGCACACUGAUCAAGCACUUUUACGCCGAAGAUGAACGGGGCUAAGUGAUCUAUCAAAGC